CAAUAGCGUGUAUUAAAGUUGUUGCAGUUAAAAAGCUCGUAGUUGGAUUUCGGGGCAGCCUGGCUGGUCCGCCGCAAGGCGAGUACUGGUCAGCCGCCCUUCCUCUCGAAAGCCCCGACUGCUCUUCGUUGCAGUGGUCGGGUAGUUCGGGACGUUUACUUUGAAAAAAUUAGAGUGUUCAAGGCAGGCCUACGCCUGAAUACAUUAGCAUGGAAUAAUGGAAGAGGACCUCGGUCCUAUUUUGUUGGUUUCCAGGGCCGAAGUAAUGAUUAAGAGGGACAGUUGGGGGCAUUCGUAUUUAAUUGUCAGAGGUGAAAUUCUCGGAUUUAUGAAAGACGAACAACUGCGAAAGCAUUUGCCAAGGAUGUUUUCAUUAA
This 377-nucleotide ribosomal RNA is filed under the name uncultured eukaryote. RNAcentral describes it as "partial 18S ribosomal RNA". It matches the Rfam family "Eukaryotic small subunit ribosomal RNA", at positions 592 to 976 of the family's 1831-position model. The record is from RNAcentral.